This 72-nucleotide transfer RNA is filed under the name Spirula spirula. RNAcentral describes it as "tRNA-Leu". The record is from RNAcentral. Lineage: Eukaryota; Metazoa; Mollusca; Cephalopoda; Spirulida; Spirulidae.
AUUGAGAUGGCAGAGUUAGUGCAUAGGGUUUAAGCUCCUAUUAGGGAAUAAAUUAAUAUAUUCCUCUUAAUA